GCUGGGUGUGGAGGUUCACACCUGUAAUCCCAGCGGCUCUGGAGGCUGAGACAGGAGGAUGGAGAGUUGAAAGCCAGCCUCAGCAAUUUAAUGAGGCCCUAAGCAACUCAGUGAGAACCUGUCUCUA
Molecule: small RNA, 127 nt
Filed under: Marmota monax (woodchuck)
Lineage: Eukaryota; Metazoa; Chordata; Mammalia; Rodentia; Sciuridae
Source: RNAcentral